UACGUAGGGUGCGAGCGUUAAUCGGAAUUACUGGGCGUAAAGCGUGCGCAGGCGGUUUUGUAAGCCAGAUGUGAAAUCCCCGGGCUUAACCUGGGAAUGGCAUUUGGGACUGCAAGGCUGGAGUGCGGCAGAGGAGACUGGAAUUCCUGGUGUAGCAGUGAAAUGCGUAGAUAUCAGGAGGAACACCGAUGGCGAAGGCGGCAUCCUGGACCGGUAUUGACGCUGAUGCGCGAAAGCCAGGGGAGCAAACGGG
Molecule: ribosomal RNA, 253 nt
Filed under: uncultured bacterium
Lineage: Bacteria
Description: partial 16S ribosomal RNA
Rfam family: Bacterial small subunit ribosomal RNA
Source: RNAcentral